Molecule: small nuclear RNA, 141 nt
Organism: Carassius auratus (goldfish)
Lineage: Eukaryota; Metazoa; Chordata; Actinopteri; Cypriniformes; Cyprinidae
Gene: U4
Rfam family: U4 spliceosomal RNA
About the family: U4 small nuclear RNA (U4 snRNA) is a component of the major U2-dependent spliceosome.
Source: Ensembl
AUCUUUACACAGUGGCAGUAUCGUAGCCUAUGAGGUUUAUCCGAGGCAUGAUUAUUGCUAAUUGAAAACUUUACCCAAUACCCCGCCGUGAUGACAUGAAAUAUAGUUGGAACUGGCAAAUUUUGACGGUCUCUACAGAGA